RNAcentral lists this ribosomal RNA (696 nucleotides) under uncultured bacterium. Its description in RNAcentral is "bacterial SSU rRNA". It matches the Rfam family "Bacterial small subunit ribosomal RNA", at positions 32 to 715 of the family's 1533-position model. The record is from RNAcentral.
AACGCUAGCUACAGGCUUAACACAUGCAAGUCGAGGGGAAACGAUAUUGGAAGCUUGCUUCCGAUAGGCGUCGACCGGCGCACGGGUGAGUAACGCGUAUCCAACCUGCCCACCACUUGGGAAUAACCUUGCGAAAGUAAGACUAAUACCCAAUGACGUCUCUAGAAGACAUCUGAAGGAGAUUAGAGAUUUAUCGGUGAUGGAUGGGGAUGCGUCUGAUUAGCUUGUUGGCGGGGUAACGGCCCACCAAGGCGACGAUCAGUAGGGGUUCUGAGAGGAAGGUCCCCCACAUUGGAACUGAGACACGGUCCAAACUCCUACGGGAGGCAGCAGUGAGGAAUAUUGGUCAAUGGGCGAGAGCCUGAACCAGCCAAGUAGCGUGCAGGAUGACGGCCCUAUGGGUUGUAAACUGCUUUUAUAAGGGAAUAAAGUGAGCCUCGUGAGGCUUUUUGCAUGUACCUUAUGAAUAAGGACCGGCUAAUUCCGUGCCAGCAGCCGCGGUAAUACGGAAGGUCCGGGCGUUAUCCGGAUUUAUUGGGUUUAAAGGGAGCGUAGGCCGGAGAUUAAGCGUGUUGUGAAAUGUAGAUGCUCAACAUCUGCACUGCAGCGCGAACUGGUUUCCUUGAGCACGCACAAAGUGGGCGGAAUUCGUGGUGUAGCGGUGAAAUGCUUAGAUAUCACGAAGAACUCCGAUUG